GGGGCUAUGUUCAAAGCAUGGUUGGUUUAUCAUACAUUUGUAACUGGUGGUAGGAUAUAUACAUGUAGUAAUGCAGUGUUGAAUACUGAUUCCCCUCUCCCUAAAUUGAUAGGGAUAAAAUAAUUAAAAUUCUUUCACUAAAUCUCAAUAAUAGGGCAAAAGUGAAAAAAUCAAUCUAAGCACACUAUUGGUUCUGCUCUGUCAGACAUGUUUUCUGCUCUUUGAUAGGGUUGUCUCUUUAACACCUUGCCC
Molecule: long non-coding RNA, 252 nt
Filed under: Mytilus galloprovincialis (Mediterranean mussel)
Lineage: Eukaryota; Metazoa; Mollusca; Bivalvia; Mytilida; Mytilidae
Source: RNAcentral